RNAcentral lists this transfer RNA (62 nucleotides) under Okanagana bella. RNAcentral describes it as "tRNA-Gly". The record is from RNAcentral. RNAcentral also lists the same sequence under 2 other names. Lineage: Eukaryota; Metazoa; Arthropoda; Insecta; Hemiptera; Cicadidae.
GUUUUAUUAGUAUAUAAGUAUAUUUAACUUCCAAUUAAAAGGUUUAUUAAUUAAAUAAAACA